AAUCCAUAGGUUAAUGAGGCGAACCGGGGGAACUGAAACAUCUAAGUACCCCGAGGAAAAGAAAUCAACCGAGAUUCCCCCAGUAGCGGCGAGCGAACGGGGAGGAGCCCAGAGCCUGAAUCAGCAUGUGUGUUAGUGGAAGCGUCUGGAAAGGCGCGCGAUACAGGGUGACAGCCCCGUACACAAAAGCGCAUGUGCUGUGAGCUCGAUGAGUAGGGCGGGACACGUGGUAUCCUGUCUGAAUAUGGGGGGACCAUCCUCCAAGGCUAAAUACUCCUGACUGACCGAUAGUGAACCAGUACCGUGAGGGAAAGGCGAAAAGAACCCCGGCGAGGGGAGUGAAAAAGAACCUGAAACCGUGUACGUACAAGCAGUGGGAGCACCCUUUGGGUGUGACUGCGUACCUUUUGUAUAAUGGGUCAGCGACUUAUAUUCUGUAGCAAGGUUAACCGAAUAGGGGAGCCGGAGGGAAACCGAGUCUUAAUUGGGCGUUAAGUUGCAGGGUAUAGACCCGAAACCCGGUGAUCUAGCCAUGGGCAGGUUGAAGGUUGGGUAACACUAACUGGAGGACCGAACCGACUAAUGUUGAAAAAUUAGCGGAUGACCUGUGGCUGGGGGUGAAAGGCCAAUCAAACCGGGAGAUAGCUGGUUCUCCCCGAAAGCUAUUUAGGUAGCGCCUCGUGAAUUCAUCUCCGGGGGUAGAGCACUGUUUCGGCUAGGGGGCCAUCCCGGCUUACCAACCCGAUGCAAACUGCGAAUACCGGAGAAUGUUAUCACGGGAGACACACGGCGGGUGCUAACGUCCGUCGUGAAGAGGGAAACAACCCAGACCGCCAGCUAAGGUCCCAAAGUCAUGGUUAAGUGGGAAACGAUGUGGGAAGGCCCAGACAGCCAGGAUGUUGGCUUAGAAGCAGCCAUCAUUUAAAGAAAGCGUAAUAGCUCACUGGUCGAGUCGGCCUGCGCGGAAGAUGUAACGGGGCUAAACCAUGCACCGAAGCUGCGGCAGCGACGCUUAUGCGUUGUUGGGUAGGGGAGCGUUCUGUAAGCCUGCGAAGGUGGCCUGUGAGGGUUGCUGGAGGUAUCAGAAGUGCGAAUGCUGACAUAAGUAACGAUAAAGCGGGUGAAAAGCCCGCUCGCCGGAAGACCAAGGGUUCCUGUCCAACGUUAAUCGGGGCAGGGUGAGUCGACCCCUAAGGCGAGGCCGAAAGGCGUAGUCGAUGGGAAACGGGUUAAUAUUCCCGUACUUGGUGUUACUGCGAAGGGGGGACGGAGAAGGCUAUGUUGGCCGGGCGACGGUUGUCCCGGUUUAAGCGUGUAGGCUGGUUUUCCAGGCAAAUCCGGAAAAUCAAGGCUGAGGCGUGAUGACGAGGCACUACGGUGCUGAAGCAACAAAUGCCCUGCUUCCAGGAAAAGCCUCUAAGCAUCAGGUAACAUCAAAUCGUACCCCAAACCGACACAGGUGGUCAGGUAGAGAAUACCAAGGCGCUUGAGAGAACUCGGGUGAAGGAACUAGGCAAAAUGGUGCCGUAACUUCGGGAGAAGGCACGCUGACACGUAGGUGAAGUGAUUUACUCACGGAGCUGAAGUCAGUCGAAGAUACCAGCUGGCUGCAACUGUUUAUUAAAAACACAGCACUGUGCAAACACGAAAGUGGACGUAUACGGUGUGACGCCUGCCCGGUGCCGGAAGGUUAAUUGAUGGGGUCAGCGCAAGCGAAGCUCCUGAUCGAAGCCCCGGUAAACGGCGGCCGUAACUAUAACGGUCCUAAGGUAGCGAAAUUCCUUGUCGGGUAAGUUCCGACCUGCACGAAUGGCGUAAUGAUGGCCAGGCUGUCUCCACCCGAGACUCAGUGAAAUUGAACUCGCUGUGAAGAUGCAGUGUACCCGCGGCAAGACGGAAAGACCCCGUGAACCUUUACUAUAGCUUGACACUGAACAUUGAGCCUUGAUGUGUAG
Molecule: ribosomal RNA, 1955 nt
Filed under: Salmonella enterica subsp. enterica serovar Enteritidis
Lineage: Bacteria; Pseudomonadati; Pseudomonadota; Gammaproteobacteria; Enterobacterales; Enterobacteriaceae
Description: partial 23S ribosomal RNA
Rfam family: Bacterial large subunit ribosomal RNA
Source: RNAcentral